Molecule: ribosomal RNA, 2616 nt
Filed under: Escherichia coli
Lineage: Bacteria; Pseudomonadati; Pseudomonadota; Gammaproteobacteria; Enterobacterales; Enterobacteriaceae
Description: partial 23S ribosomal RNA
Rfam family: Bacterial large subunit ribosomal RNA
Source: RNAcentral
GGUUAAGCGACUAAGCGUACACGGUGGAUGCCCUGGCAGUCAGAGGCGAUGAAGGACGUGCUAAUCUGCGAUAAGCGUCGGUGAGGUGAUAUGAACCGUUAUAACCGGCGAUUUCCGAAUGGGGAAACCCAGUGUGUUUCGACACACUAUCAUUAACUGAAUCCAUAGGUUAAUGAGGCGAACCGGGGGAACUGAAACAUCUAAGUACCCCGAGGAAAAGAAAUCAACCGAGAUUCCCCCAGUAGCGGCGAGCGAACGGGGAGGAGCCCAGAGCCUGAAUCAGUGUGUGUGUUAGUGGAAGCGUCUGGAAAGGCGCGCGAUACAGGGUGACAGCCCCGUACACAAAAAUGCACAUACUGUGAGCUCGAUGAGUAGGGCGGGACACGUGGUAUCCUGUCUGAAUAUGGGGGGACCAUCCUCCAAGGCUAAAUACUCCUGACUGACCGAUAGUGAACCAGUACCGUGAGGGAAAGGCGAAAAGAACCCCGGCGAGGGGAGUGAAAAAGAACCUGAAACCGUGUACGUACAAGCAGUGGGAGCCUCUUAAUGGGGUGACUGCGUACCUUUUGUAUAAUGGGUCAGCGACUUAUAUUCUGUAGCAAGGUUAACCGAAUAGGGGAGCCGAAGGGAAACCGAGUCUUAACUGGGCGUUAAGUUGCAGGGUAUAGACCCGAAACCCGGUGAUCUAGCCAUGGGCAGGUUGAAGGUUGGGUAACACUAACUGGAGGACCGAACCGACUAAUGUUGAAAAAUUAGCGGAUGACUUGUGGCUGGGGGUGAAAGGCCAAUCAAACCGGGAGAUAGCUGGUUCUCCCCGAAAGCUAUUUAGGUAGCGCCUCGUGAAUUCAUCUCCGGGGGUAGAGCACUGUUUCGGCAAGGGGGUCAUCCCGACUUACCAACCCGAUGCAAACUGCGAAUACCGGAGAAUGUUAUCACGGGAGACACACGGCGGGUGCUAACGUCCGUCGUGAAGAGGGAAACAACCCAGACCGCCAGCUAAGGUCCCAAAGUCAUGGUUAAGUGGGAAACGAUGUGGGAAGGCCCAGACAGCCAGGAUGUUGGCUUAGAAGCAGCCAUCAUUUAAAGAAAGCGUAAUAGCUCACUGGUCGAGUCGGCCUGCGCGGAAGAUGUAACGGGGCUAAACCAUGCACCGAAGCUGCGGCAGCGACACUAUGUGUUGUUGGGUAGGGGAGCGUUCUGUAAGCCUGUGAAGGUGUACUGUGAGGUAUGCUGGAGGUAUCAGAAGUGCGAAUGCUGACAUAAGUAACGAUAAAGCGGGUGAAAAGCCCGCUCGCCGGAAGACCAAGGGUUCCUGUCCAACGUUAAUCGGGGCAGGGUGAGUCGACCCCUAAGGCGAGGCCGAAAGGCGUAGUCGAUGGGAAACAGGUUAAUAUUCCUGUACUUGGUGUUACUGCGAAGGGGGGACGGAGAAGGCUAUGUUGGCCGGGCGACGGUUGUCCCGGUUUAAGCGUGUAGGCUGGUUUUCCAGGCAAAUCCGGAAAAUCAAGGCUGAGGCGUGAUGACGAGGCACUACGGUGCUGAAGCGACAAAUGCCCUGCUUCCAGGAAAAGCCUCUAAGCAUCAGGUAACAUCAAAUCGUACCCCAAACCGACACAGGUGGUCAGGUAGAGAAUACCAAGGCGCUUGAGAGAACUCGGGUGAAGGAACUAGGCAAAAUGGUGCCGUAACUUCGGGAGAAGGCACGCUGAUAUGUAGGUGAAGCGACUUGCUCGUGGAGCUGAAAUCAGUCGAAGAUACCAGCUGGCUGCAACUGUUUAUUAAAAACACAGCACUGUGCAAACACGAAAGUGGACGUAUACGGUGUGACGCCUGCCCGGUGCCGGAAGGUUAAUUGAUGGGGUUAGCGGUAACGCGAAGCUCUUGAUCGAAGCCCCGGUAAACGGCGGCCGUAACUAUAACGGUCCUAAGGUAGCGAAAUUCCUUGUCGGGUAAGUUCCGACCUGCACGAAUGGCGUAAUGAUGGCCAGGCUGUCUCCACCCGAGACUCAGUGAAAUUGAACUCGCUGUGAAGAUGCAGUGUACCCGCGGCAAGACGGAAAGACCCCGUGAACCUUUACUAUAGCUUGACACUGAACAUUGAGCCUUGAUGUGUAGGAUAGGUGGGAGGCUUUGAAGUGUGGACGCCAGUCUGCAUGGAGCCGACCUUGAAAUACCACCCUUUAAUGUUUGAUGUUCUAACGUGGGCCCCUUACCGGGGUUGCGGACAGUGUCUGGUGGGUAGUUUGACUGGGGCGGUCUCCUCCUAAAGAGUAACGGAGGAGCACGAAGGUUGGCUAAUCCUGGUCGGACAUCAGGAGGUUAGUGCAAUGGCAUAAGCCAGCUUGACUGCGAGCGUGACGGCGCGAGCAGGUGCGAAAGCAGGUCAUAGUGAUCCGGUGGUUCUGAAUGGAAGGGCCAUCGCUCAACGGAUAAAAGGUACUCCGGGGAUAACAGGCUGAUACCGCCCAAGAGUUCAUAUCGACGGCGGUGUUUGGCACCUCGAUGUCGGCUCAUCACAUCCUGGGGCUGAAGUAGGUCCCAAGGGUAUGGCUGUUCGCCAUUUAAAGUGGUACGCGAGCUGGGUUUAGAACGUCGUGAGACAGUUCGGUCCCUAUC